Long non-coding RNA from Rosa rugosa (rugosa rose), 1042 nucleotides. RefSeq lists it as uncharacterized. The transcript has 6 exons. NCBI's taxonomy places the organism in Eukaryota, Viridiplantae, Streptophyta, Magnoliopsida, Rosales, Rosaceae. The record is from RefSeq and is a predicted model, not a curated record.
GGGGCAGUCUCUCUGUCAAAAUGCUGAGCUUAAGCCUCUCUCUCAGUCCAGCUCCUCGCUUCUAUUCUUUCUUCCCCGAUAUACCGACCCAAAUCCUCUACCCUAAUUCACCGGUUGUUCUUAGUCUCCAGCGAGAAAUUAGGGUUCGAAUUGGGGCUCGCUCUUCAGUUCUCCAAAUCUGCCUCCAACUCCAUCUACCUAGUCGAUAAUCAAAGCUCCGCUUUGCAUUACCCAAAUCAAUUCAAGGCUUCUCGAUCCGCUGACCCGCCAAUUCGCCAGACGGACCCAACUCAGUUGCUUCCACAACGAGAACCAACCCGCUCUCUCCAAGGAUGAACAAGGCCCGCCUCAGGAGGUCGUUCUCAAAGCUAUUUCAGGUUUCGUUUUCAGGGAAGCUUCAACCUUUUUGAAAGUCGAAGGCACUGACAGAGCUCAUUAUCUAGCCAAGAAUUAUUGACGAGAGCACCAAAGGAUCUUGUUGAACCCGAAAAAGUUCUUAAAGCAGCCCAAGUCAAACUCGUCCUCACCAAUCAAGUCACUCAUCACCAUUGUUGAGUUACAGGAAGUUGCUGUGAAGAAGUUCCUAGACCAGGAUUUCUUGGGUGCUGCUUUGGCUGAGUUCAAAAGAGAAAUUUUAACAGACCAUGUUAUGGGUUGGCUCUGCACAAGUUUUUGACAGUUUUAGCUGCAAAGUAGUGCAAGAGCAUUGGCAUGUGAGUCAUAGAUUGCCUCCGCAUUUGCAACUUAGAGAUGAUCUCUAUUAGAACUUUGUCAAGAAAUGAGGACCCACAAUUGGAAGAAGAUAAACUACUUGGCACAGGUAUACCAGAAUGUCUAAAUGUGGAAUCUCCUCCUCAGUGCAGAAAUGCAUAUCAACCUAUCCCAAGCCCUGUAUUUUUAUGGAUGAGAUCGAUGCUAUUGGUGGACAGCGUUUUAGCUAAGGGACCAGUGCAGACCAUGAAAUCCAGUGAACACUCAUGGAGUUGCUUAACCAGUUAGAUGGAUUUGAUCAACUUGGGAAGGUACUUGAGUUCUCGUUGAU